RNAcentral lists this ribosomal RNA (1426 nucleotides) under metagenome. RNAcentral's name for it is "bacterial SSU rRNA". It matches the Rfam family "Archaeal small subunit ribosomal RNA". The record is from RNAcentral.
UCUGGUUGAUCCUGCCAGAGGCCACUGCUAUUGGGGUUCGCUUAAGCCAUGCGAGUCGAGAGACUUCGGGUCUCGGCAUACUGCUCAGUAACACGUGGAUAACGUACCCUCAGGACAGGCAUAAUCUCGGGAAACUGAGGCUAAUACCUGAUUAGUUAUAGAAUGCUGGAAUGCUUCUAUAUCCAAAUGCUCCGGCGCCUGAGGAUCGGUCUGCGGCUUAUCAGGCUGUAGUGAGUGUAACGGACUCACUAACCUUCGACGAGUACGGGCCUUGGGAGAGGUCGCCCGGAGAUGGACUCUGAGACACGAGUCCAGGCCCUACGGGGCGCAGCAGGCGCGAAAACUUGGCAAUGCGGGAAACCGCGACCAGGGAACCCCAAGUGCUAGCACACUGUGUUAGCUUUUCUUCAGUCUAGAAAGCUGGAGGAAUAAGGGCUGGGCAAGACUGGUGCCAGCCGCCGCGGUAAUACCAGCAGCUCGAGUGGUGGUCGAUAUUAUUGGGCCUAAAGCGUCCGUAGCCUGGUUGGUAAACCCUUGGGUAAAUCGUAGAGCUUAACUCUACGACUUCCGAGGAGACUGCCAACCUUGGGACUGGGAGAGGUCGGAGGUACUCAUGGGGUAGGGGUGAAAUCCUGUAAUCCUAUGGGGACCACCAGUGGCGAAGGCGUCCGACUGGAACGGGUCCGACGGUAAGGGACGAAGCCUAGGGGCACAAACGGGAUUAGAUACCCCGGUAGUCCUAUGGUGUAAACGCUGCGGGCUUGGUGUUGGGGGUCCUACGAGGGCGCCCAGUGCCGGAGAGAAGUUGUUAAGCCCGCCGCCUGGGGAGUACGGCGGCAACGCUGAAACUUAAAGGAAUUGGCGGGGGAGCACAGCAACGGGUGGAGCGUGCGGUUUAAUUGGAUUCAACGCCGUAAAACUCACCGGAGGCGACGGUUAUAUGAAGGCCAAGCUAAUGACUUUGCCAGAUUUUCCGAGAGGUGGUGCAUGGCCGCCGUCAGUUCGUACCGUAAGGCGUUCUGUUAAGUCAGAUAACGAACGAGACCCCUACCUUUAAUUGCUAUUUCUUUCUUCGGAGGGGAAGCACAUUAAAGGGACCGCUGGUGCUAAAUCAGAGGAAGGUGGGGGCAACGGUAGGUCAGUAUGCCCCGAAUCUUCCGGGCUACACGCGCGCUACAAAGGACAGGACAACGGGUUGCGACCUCGAGAGAGUGGAGCCAAUCCCGAAACCUGUUCAUAGUUCGGAUUGAGGGCUGUAACCCGCCCUCAUGAAGCUGGAAUCCGUAGUAAUCGCGAGUCAACAUCUCGCGGUGAAUAUGCCCCUGCUCCUUGCACACACCGCCCGUCAAACCAUCUGAUUUGGGUCUGGGUGAGGGCUUGUCUAAGGUGAGCUCGAACCUGGGUUCAGAGAGGAGGGUUAAGUCGU